Long non-coding RNA from Pipra filicauda (Wire-tailed manakin), 1355 nucleotides. RefSeq lists it as uncharacterized. The record is from RefSeq and is a predicted model, not a curated record. The transcript has 2 exons. Lineage: Eukaryota; Metazoa; Chordata; Aves; Passeriformes; Pipridae.
UGUGUCUUAUGCUCCUGCAGAUGGUGCUUCUCCUCUCAAUUUCAGUGGAAAUUCAGAAAUUUUAAUAACCUAGAAUUUCAGAGUUGUUAGAUAGUGGCUCAGACUUAAAUGCCAAUUUAAAUAACUUUCCCUUGUGACUCUCAACUUGCCUUGCAUAUGGAAUAGCUACCAUUUAAACUACUGCUUGGAGGCUUAAUUAAACCAGAAGGAAGACACAUAUGUAAGAGACUGAAAGUUACUAAAACCCACAGGCCUCAUUCAGAACCAUUCACAAAUUUUUCAAGUCAAUUGAAUUUUUCAUGUGAAAGAAAAAUUUUAAAAUCCAAACAGAUGACAUGGAAAGAAGAAAUGAAGAGGUCAUCUUGAGCUGGUGUUAAAAAGCAUACAAAUCUCAUAAUAGCACUUUUGCCAAAUUUUAGUGCCUGUACCCCCUGUGCCUGGUAAGACAAGCCAUUACUAUCGCAAAAAUCCAAUGCCAACCCUGCUGCACUGAAGUUAAGGCCCAUCACAGUGUGUGGCUGCAGCAGCAGCAGUGAUACUCACGUUCCAACUGUCUGUGCCAGCUGACCGGAGCAACACCUGGCUCCAGUUCUGGCACAGGAGCCCUUCCAAGAAACAACAGGUUGUGAAGGUACAUUUUACCAUGGCUUGGCAGCUGGAACUUGGGAGAACACCACAGAGCUGUGAGGUCACUGUGCAGGUCAGUGCAGCUGCACAGCUGCACAGGUAUUUGCUGCAGACAGAGAUGCAGCAGGGUGCCCUCAGCGAGUGGCAGAGCUGGGAGCAGGGCACUGACGCAGCACAACACAGCUCUCCGCCUCCUCAAGGAUGAAUUUAGCUUCCUUAGGAGGCGAGUCGGAGCCUCUGCAAUUUUGCUGUGAGAAGUUCUGAAGAUAAUUAGCUGGUGCUCUGCCCGCCCAGGCAUCUGUGACAGCAGCGAGCGCUACAGUGACAGCAACCAGCCGGCUUUGAAUGCACCCAGAGGCGCCGAGGAGCAAGCGGGGCUUUCACUUCAUUACAGUGGCUUUAGAAAGCUCUGAACAAAAUCGACUUCCCACACUGGCACUGGCUCUAGAUGCAGACUGCAUUUAGGAGAGCAGCAGCACAUGUUCAGGGUUUAAAAUCCUGGGGUUUUAAUGGCAUGGAAUCUAAGCUUAGUGCAGGGAAAAGAAAUACGUUAUCUGGAGGAAACCUACAUCCAUGCUCCAGCCUCCACAACAGAAGCUCUUCGGUAAUUCAUUGCUGUACCCAGGAGUUGCUGAUCUUCCAGCCAUUCUCCAGCCUCUGCGCCGGAGUUCACACCGGCUGCAGCCAGGGCUGUGCAGGCACUGCACAAAUAAACAGGCUGCAGUUCA